RNAcentral lists this ribosomal RNA (402 nucleotides) under uncultured bacterium. Its description in RNAcentral is "bacterial SSU rRNA". It matches the Rfam family "Bacterial small subunit ribosomal RNA", at positions 355 to 774 of the family's 1533-position model. The record is from RNAcentral.
UCGGGAAUUUUGGGCAAUGGGCGAAAGCCUGACCCAGCAACGCCGCGUGAGGGAUGAAGUAUUUCGGUAUGUAAACCUCGAAAGAAUGGGAAGAAUAAAUGACGGUACCAUUUAUAAGCUCCGGCUAACUACGUGCCAGCAGCCGCGGGAAUACGUAGGGAGCAAGCGUUGUUCGGACUUACUGGGCGUAAAGGGCGCGUAGGCGGCGCGGUAAGUCACUUGUGAAAUCUCUGAGCUUAACUCAGAACGGCCAAGUGAUACUGCUGUGCUAGAGUGCGGAAGAGGCAACCGGAAUUCCUGGUGUAGCGGUGAAAUGCGUAGAUAUCAAGAGGAACACCUGAGGCGAAGGCGGGUUGCUGGGCCGACACUGACGCUGAUGCGCGAAAGCCAGGGGAGCAAACG